This 253-nucleotide ribosomal RNA is filed under the name uncultured bacterium. RNAcentral describes it as "partial 16S ribosomal RNA". It matches the Rfam family "Bacterial small subunit ribosomal RNA", at positions 524 to 776 of the family's 1533-position model. The record is from RNAcentral.
UACGAAGGGGGCUAGCGUUGUUCGGAUUUACUGGGCGUAAAGGGUGCGUAGGCGGGUUUUUAAGUCAGGGGUGAAAUCCUGGAGCUCAACUCCAGAACUGCCUUUGAUACUGAAGAUCUUGAGUCCGGGAGAGGUGAGUGGAACUGCGAGUGUAGAGGUGAAAUUCGUAGAUAUUCGCAAGAACACCAGUGGCGAAGGCGGCUCACUGGCCCGGUACUGACGCUGAGGCACGAAAGCGUGGGGAGCAAACAGG